GUGUUGCUGCACAAUGUCUAAGGAUCAACAGUCAAAACAUCAUUUUAUACUUCCACUACGCCCAAAAGAUAGAGGCGUUAAGUUACAAAGCAAGUGUGCCAUUGGCCCAAUCCCAGUUCUAUUCCUUAUAAGGAUAACUGCAAGUAUCCCUUUGUCCCCCUUGUGGUUUCUGUGUUGUCUGUCCGACUAUGUGUGUGUCUCUAACCUGUGUCCUGUUUAUCAAAAGACAGACAUACUAAAUCUUUCUCUCCCCGGCAACCACUUGAACAGGGUUUCCUGUUCUCCUACUUGCAACUUCAGUUUUAGCUCAUAUUACAAACAAUUAAUAUUUUCCUUCAUUGCUUACAACAGUUCACAACAGUUCACUAACUUAUACAAUCAAUAUAUCUACAAUGGUCAUACCACAGAAACAACCUGUUCCUUAUCCAUCGUGCCCCGUUGUGUAUAUGCCUCUAUCCUGUCCUAAGACUGAUUUUCUACAUCUACCCCCAUCCUGCUAAAGAUUCACGUUUACCUCAGCACCUCAUACUUCCUUUACCACAACACAACCAACAUUCCUUUUCUUAUCUAAACAUGGGUACUCAAUACUUUAAUCAAUAAGAAUGCAUCCGUUCAAGAAACUUUCAUAGCAAUAGGCAUCACAACAAUGUUAGAGUUUUUAUCAUUCUACAUUUCAGACCGUAGUAUGAAAUGAAAAUUGCCAGACUUAAAGCAAGCAAAAUAUAUAUCCCCUCAUGAUGUACAGACAUAUCUAGAGCACCUGAUAUGUCAAGACUUACAACACAAGUGAAAGAUGAUAUGUACUACAGCCCUGCUCCAGCGAUACUGUCCUGGUCGUUUUCAUUCCAACACCAUGUACAGUGGGGCAAAAAAGUAUUUAGUCAGCCACCAAUUGUGCAAGUUCUCCCAGUUAAAAAGAUGAGAGGCCUGUCAUUUUCAUAAUAGGUACCCUUCAACUAUGUAGGAUUUUUAAUGAAUUCAUUGGUAAAUUCCUCGAUAAAAUAAGUAUUUGGUCACCUACAAACAAGCAAGAUCCAAAGAACACCAUACCUACUGUGAAGCAUGGGGGUGGAAACAUCAUGCUUUGGGGCUGUUUUCCUGCUAAGGGACCAGGACGACUGAUCCGUGUAAAGGAAAGAAUGAAUGCGGCCAUGUAUCGUGAGAUUGAGUGAAAACCUCCUUCCAUCAGCAAGGGCAUUGAAGAUGAAACGCGGCUGGGUCUUUCAGCAUGACAAUGAUCCCAAACACACCGCCCGGGCAACGAAGGAGUGGCUUCGUAAGAAGCAUUUCAAGGUCCUGGAGUGGCCUAGCCAGUCACCAGAUCUCAACCCCAUAGAAAAUCUUUGGAGGGAAAGUCUGUGUUGCCCAGCGACAGCCCCAAAACAUCACUGCUCUAGAGGAGAUCUGCAUGGAGGAAUGGGCCAAAAUACCAGCAACAGUGUGUGAAAACUUACAGUAAAUGUUUGACCUCUGUCAUUGCCAACAAAGGGUAUAUAACAAAGUACUGAGAUUAACUUUUGUUAUUGACCAAAUAAUUAUUUUCCACCAUAAUUUACCAAUACAUUCAUAAAAAAUCCUACAAUGUGAUUUUCUAGAAAAAUAAAUCUAAUUUUGUCUCUCAUAGUUGAAGUGUACCUAUGAUGAAAAUUACAGGCCCCUCCUCUUUCUAAGUGGGAAAACCUGCACAAUGGGUGGCUGACUAAAUACUUUUUUGCACCACUGUAUAGGUAAACUAUUCACUCAUGAAAUACAAAUGAAUUAGGAAAUGGAAACGUGUACAAGCAAAAUAAACACUUGGUCACAA
Esox lucius (northern pike) is the source of this 1804-nucleotide long non-coding RNA. The record is from Ensembl. NCBI's taxonomy places the organism in Eukaryota, Metazoa, Chordata, Actinopteri, Esociformes, Esocidae.